Long non-coding RNA from Ailuropoda melanoleuca (giant panda), 5286 nucleotides. RefSeq lists it as uncharacterized. The transcript has 7 exons. The record is from RefSeq and is a predicted model, not a curated record. NCBI's taxonomy places the organism in Eukaryota, Metazoa, Chordata, Mammalia, Carnivora, Ursidae.
AAGGGACGGGCGGGGGAGGAGUGGUCUGAGCCCCACCUCGCCGUUUCGCGGAUAAAACCCGGUGGCGGCAAUAUGCAGGAGGAAGGCGGGUUCGCGUGUGGCCCUGUGGGGAAUUCCCUUGGGGUGUCGACGGCUCGGUGGAAACCCCCGCGCCUGCCUGCCCCUGCGGCGUUCCUUCGUGAUAUCUAGUAACCUGGUUGGCGAAUUAUAAUCAGAAUGCUGUUUGGUGAGCGAAGAGUAAAAAAUUCAGAGUCAGACGAACUACCCCUACCUCACAACUGACUACAUCACUCUGAUGACCAGAUAGUGGAAUCUCCAAAUUCAGUACCCUUGUACAUCAAAAGUAUGAGUUCCUUCGGAGUGGAGAAAUUGAUACGGAACAAAAUUGAUGAGCUAUACGUGAAAGGCAAAAUGGCCAAAGACGACCAAGCCCUGCUCCCUGGAGCCCAUGACUACGUUUCCUUGGACGGCAAGAGGGGCUUCGCAUCUGCAGUUAAGAUUAUGGACGUGGAUAAUCCAGGUGGGCCCUUCGAAGCAGAGAACUCUGGUUGAAGUCAAAGACAUGCAGUGGAAUAGGAGGCAAGAGAAGAAAUCCAAGAGAGAGACUCCAAGUGCGAGAAGGGCUUGAAGCGCUGUUACCUGCUCUGAGCACAGGGAGCGGCCUGCAAGGACUGAAGAGAGAUCUUGAAGAGCUAAGGACAGCCCCUGGCUGACAGCCAGCGAGCAAACAAGGACCUCAAUCCUACAACCGCAAGAAAUGAAAUUCUGACAACUGAAAAAGCCUGGAAGUCGAUUCUUCCCCAGAGCCCCCAGAAAGGAAUGCAGCUCUUGAUUUGGUCUUGUGAGACCUGGAACAGAGAAAAACCCUUGAGCCCUGCUCUGCUCAGACUUCUGACCUGCAGAAGUUACAAAAUCAUAAAUGAAUGUUGUUUUAAGCCUGUAAAUGUAUGGCGAUUUGUUACUGUAGCAAUAGAAACCAAAACACUAUGUUAGCAUGUUCGAGUUCAAUCUAAGAAAAUAAUCUGAAAAAAUAACACAGUUGUGUGUGGGAACACACAACCCAAAACAGAAUUCAAAGGACAAGGACAGUGAAAGCCCAGAUAAGGUCAUUCAAACACCGACUGUUAUCUGUAAGAUAAUGAAAAGUAAACAUGUGGUUCUUUGCAUAAUUUUGAUCAAAGGAAUAUAAUAUGUUUUGCACACAUUUGGAGGAAAACCGGCUGCAUUAGGAUUCUCAUUAGGGAAGAACUGGUGUCAACUGGGGACCAGGAUGUGGAACCACUCCCUAUGUUAUGGUGACAAGAAGAUGGAUGUACAAAUCUAAUUUGGGCAAGUGAGCGAGCAGUCACGGAGUGCCCAGCAGAAGGUAGAGGGCACCUCAAUCGACAUAGUUGGUUGAAACUGGGAUGAAGUCAAAAGAAAAAGGAAAAGAGAGGACUUUUUGUGCUCAUCUGGCACUUUCAGCUGGCACACAUCUGCUGGCCCCUCCCGUUGGCUCCAGUCUUGGACAUAUGAGCAGGGCCUGGUCCAUCCACGUAUUUUUUCCUCUCUUGCCAUAGAGAUUGUUUCCAGAUGUGACAAAAAGGUGGUCCAAAGAGUGCCAGGCCCUUCUCUGGGACUGUUGUGAGGGCAGUGCUCUAGACGGGUGUUGCUAAUUGGGCGGAAGAAUGCUCAGCCUACCUGUGGGAGGGGCAUCUCUGGAAUGACGUCAGCACAGACAAAGUAGAACUGAGAAGAGGGAGCGAGACAGACACCCGUCACCAUCUAGAUCCAGUGAAGCCUCUGCGUUUUACCCUGGACUUUUUCAGUUGCUUGGUUUAAGCUAGCUGCAUCCUGGGAAGACUUUGCUGGCCUGAGGACUUUUAAAACUGGUCUGCACCAUAACUUGAAAGGGCCUUCAGAAGAUUAUGGGUCUGGAGCAAGGACAUCCUGAGUAGAAGAAUGUAGAAGGUUUAUACGCAUGCUGCUCAAAACUGGCCAACCCACACCAUGUCCUCCCACCAAUAUUGAUCUUAAGCCUUUGGGACAGUUUGAGUCAGCUGAGAGCUCCACCCCUACCACAGCAGGAGAGCUUUUUCAAUGACCUCAAGUUUUAAAUGUCAGAUGGUGAAAGUCAAAGACUUUCAAAGACUGGACCAUGGUAAGUAGUUUCCUUUUGAUUCUUCAGAAACAGACCCUGAGGCAAGGAGUCAAGUAGAAGUGAACUUCUGGGGAGAUGAUCCCAGGAAACACUUGUAGUAGAGUGAGGAUGUGAGACAGGGAAGGAAAGAGGCCAAUAAAUGGUGUGUUCUUAGGCCAGUCAUCACUUUAGGCAACUGGAGCUUAUUCUGCCCAGGAAGCUGGGAUACUUAUCCACCAAUUACCCUCUGUCAUUGGUUGAUUUUAGGGACACCAACACCCCACCACAUUGGUUUGCUCCAUAGGAGUGCUGACCCAUCUCUUGAAGCUAGGAAAUAUGAGCAGAGAAUUGUAAGUAUUCAGUUAGCAUCCAUGUAGAGGUGAAUGGCUAUGGACAGGACACUGACUGAGCCUGUUGCCGUGAGAGCAGGAGGCAGAGGAAGAAGAGCCAUCUUUCAGUGGUUUUCCUAUCAGUGCGUUAACAAUGUUCAUCUCAGACAAAAGAACACUGGAAGACCGGCCAGUGAAAACUUUACAGUCCUUAUAGUUUAUGUAAUUUCUGCAAAGUAACUAACAUUCACUUGCUAUUAGGUAGGUGUGCAAGAGAUUUUAGCAAGAGAAGAAAAAUUUGAUCGGACAGAUAAGGCUCAAAGAAAUCUGAUUGUAGGACACACUUUAAAAUAAUCCAUUGUGAACUUAAACUCUUUGCACAAACCCAAGAGUCCUUUAGCUAAUUCCUUUCCCAAUGAAGGAGCCAAUCAAUGUUCUUUCAGGGGAGAAAAUUACUAGAGAGCCUAGUAUGUGUUUUGAUGCCCUAAUGAGGCACUAUGAAUUACCCAACCCAAACCAAUUAAGUCUUAGCCCGGAUAGAGGGCUACUGAGGAGAUGAGGACACAGCAUGCAUUUAGGGCAGAAUUAACUGCUUCCAUAGCUUGGAAAUAUGCUUGGGGGGAAGCCAAACCUUGUAGCUCUUUGCUGUCCUUAAAGCUGGCAGUCCAAAUGAUCCAGUCCAAUGUUAGCUUUUGUCGCUCUUGCUUCUUUGGCCUUAAAUUUAAAAAAUGUCUGCAAAACAUAAAAUAUGUUUUGAACAUUACAUAAAGCUAUUAAGUGAGGGUGAAUCAUGAAAACAUGGUAUGUCAGAGACAAUAAAGUAAGUGAAAUGAACUGCUGCUGACUAGCUGCUUGACCUUGGGCCAGUUGCUCAGUCCUUUCUUGUCAAUCAAAUAGGAAAUUAUAGCCCAAUAAUGUGGUUUUGGAUUGCAGCUCAAUAAGAGAGCUCUAAUCUCUUGGUUACGCCUUACUGUACCAUGGGAAACCAAGCACUUAUUUUCAUUUUAAUGUGAUCUCUUCCAGUGGACUGUGACUUCCUAAAGCACCCAGCACAAUGCCUGGCUUAGCUUAGGAACUUAGGAGCUAUGUGUUGAAUAAAUGUGAAAUGAAUAGUGGAAGAAGUUAUUUCAAAUAUUAUGGUGCACGUAGAAAUAUGUGAAUAAACAUACCAUCAACACAAAUAGCUGUUUUAAAGAAAAUGAUGAAAGUAGAAUUUUUAUAUAGCUUAUGUAUAUUAGUGGAACAGAGGAGGCAUAGCAGGAGGGUUGCCAUUAGUGAGAAGGUAUGCCGUGUGGUGACUAAGACAUAGCCUUUGGUGUCAGGCAGCCCUGGGCUGGAAUCCUAGCUCUGCUACUUGCUAGCAGACACAAGCUUUGUGUGCUUGUGCAAAUUACACAGGUUUUCUGGGUUUCAAUUUCUUCUCCUGGACUUUGUAGGUUGCAAUAAGGAUCCUACAACAUCUAGGAGGGCUUGAGAAACAGUAUGUUACUUAAAAGAGCUCAGGCUAAGAUGAUCACUAUGAAUACGCACAAAGUCCAAAGUGAGGUAUAAAACUUCCUCCACUGGGUUGCCUUUACUGAAUCAGUCUUUGAUCCCGGUGAGGGCUUUUUUUUUUCUUCUUCUUCCCUUUUCUUCCACAAAGAAUGGAAGUUUGUACAAGAAAUGCAUCAUUCUCUAAACCAAACAGCAAAAAGAGAAACAAAAUGCAGAAGAAAAGAGGUUGACAUCUUGGACAGGAAGGAACUCUUCCCUAUACUUCCAUUCAAGACGGACUCCCAAAUGAGAACUGAAUAAACACGGUAGACAAGGAGGCCAGGAAGAUCUGACUCUCUCCAGAAGCAUCAUUGCCACCUUGCUGCCCCUGGGAACUAGAAUUACCAUCUUGCUCCCAGAAUCUUAUUCUUGAAAGACAAGUCAAACUUUUUGCUCUCAGGGCCGAGCCACAUACCUCAGCCUCUUUCUUGCUUCCUUUGCCCUCUCUCCUUGCUUCAAGCUCAUUGAUUCUCUGUUUCAGUGGGGACUUCCAAGAGAAAUGGAGUGAAUCAUUCAGCAAGGGGAGAACAUCAGCCAUCUAGAACAUUCAACAUUGAUUUAGAAUCCACUUUAAUAUGGUUUAAGCCACGAAUAAACAAUAAACAAGGGAUGGAAGACCGAGGGAAGGAGAAAAGUGGCUCAUCUAAUGAGGCCCGUGGAAGCAAACUGGAAUCUACUGAGUGCACACUGUACUCUGGGCCGGGUCCUGAGGAAAAUAUAAAAAAAAAAGUAAAACAAGUUUUUGGUCCCCAGGAGCUUAGAGUCUAGCUGGGGAGAAAAGGCAUACUCAUUGUUUACGAGACACGAUGAGGAACUUAUAUCUGCUACCAGCACAUCACUUCUCUUCCAUCUACAGAAGAUGGAGCCCUCUUUUCUGACUCCCAAUGGACCUGGAAAUCCAUUCACAGGCUCUCUCACUGUCCAGAGAGUAUGCUGGUGGCAAGAACACACUUGGCCUGGGUGAGGGGAGCCAGAAUCGGGCUUAUCUCUUAUGGAUCCUACGUGUGGCAGCCUGAGUCAUGGUAUUGGACUCUCUUCGUGUUCAAUUUGUAGCCACUUCCAGUACCACAAAUGGCUUCUCCACCGCUUGGACAUGACGGGUCCAGAUUCUUGGUCUCAGAGUACUGAUCUCUUUUCCUUCUCUGCUCUCCCAACAGUUUCCUUCCCAGGGUCUGGAAAUGUCUUCUCAUAUUUCUUUAAAACACUCAGUUUAUUGGGGCACCUGGGUGGCUCAGUCGUUAAGUGUCUGCCUUCAGCUCAGGGCGUGAUCCCGGCAUUCUGGAAUCGAGCCCCACAUCAGGCUUC